Molecule: ribosomal RNA, 361 nt
Filed under: uncultured bacterium
Lineage: Bacteria
Description: partial 16S ribosomal RNA
Rfam family: Bacterial small subunit ribosomal RNA
Source: RNAcentral
CCUACGGGAGGCAGCAGUGGGGAAUAUUGCGCAAUGGGCGAAAGCCUGACGCAGCGACGCCGCGUGAGGGAUGAAGGUCUUCGGAUCGUAAACCUCUGUCAUCAGGGAAGAACGGUCACUGUGCUAAUCAGCAGUGAAUUGACGGUACCUGCAAAGGAAGCACCGGCUAACUCCGUGCCAGCAGCCGCGGUAAUACGGAGGGUGCGAGCGUUAAUCGGAAUUACUGGGCGUAAAGCGCUCGUAGGCGGUAUGGCAAGUCAAGGGUGAAAUCCCCGCGCUCAACGUGGGAACUGCCUUUGAAAACGGGAAAAUGGAGUGUGUGAGAGGAUAGGGGAAUUUCAGGGGGAGGAGUGAAAUCCGG